CGGGGGGUAGCAAUACCAACCGGCGAACGGGUGCGGAACACGUGAGCAAUCUGCCGAUUACUGGGGGAUAGCCGGGCCAACGCCCGGGUAAUACCGCAUACGCUCAUGAGGGGACAUCCCCUUAUGAGGAAACCUCCGGGGGUAAUCGAGGAGCUCGCGUCUUAUCAGCUAGUUGGUGAGGUAACGGCUCACCAAGGCUACGACGGGUAGCUGGUCUGAGAGGAUGGCCAGCCACAUUGGGACUGCGACACGGCCCAGACUCCUACGGGAGGCAGCAGUGGGGAAUAUUGCGCAAUGGACGAAAGUCUGACGCAGCGACGCCGCGUGUGGGAUGAAGCUCUUCGGGGUGUAAACCACUGUUGCCCGGGACGAAUAUCCUCCAUUAGGAGGAUUGACGGUACCGGGUGAGGAAGCACCGGCUAACUCUGUGCCAGCAGCCGCGGUAAUACAGAGGGUGCGAGCGUUGUCCGGAAUCACUGGGCGUAAAGGGCGCGUAGGUGGCUCGUUAAGCGUGUGGUGAAAGCCUGGGGCUCAACC
This 537-nucleotide ribosomal RNA is filed under the name uncultured bacterium. RNAcentral's name for it is "bacterial SSU rRNA". It matches the Rfam family "Bacterial small subunit ribosomal RNA", at positions 65 to 614 of the family's 1533-position model. The record is from RNAcentral.